RNAcentral lists this ribosomal RNA (474 nucleotides) under uncultured bacterium. RNAcentral's name for it is "partial 16S ribosomal RNA". It matches the Rfam family "Bacterial small subunit ribosomal RNA", at positions 28 to 507 of the family's 1533-position model. The record is from RNAcentral.
GAUGAACGCUAGCGGCAGGCCUAACACAUGCAAGUCGAGGGAGGAGCUUUCGGGCUUCGACCGGCGUACGGGUGCGUAACGCGUAUACAAUCUGCCUUUCACAUAGGGAUAGCCCGAAGAAAUUUGGAUUAAUACCUAAUGGUAUAUAGAGGUGGCAUCACCUUUAUAUUAAAGCUGAGGCGGUGAAAGAUGAGUAUGCGUUCUAUUAGCUAGUUGGAGAGGUAACGGCUCCCCAAGGCGACGAUAGAUAGGGGUUCUGAGAGGGGUAUCCCCCACACUGGUACUGAGAUACGGACCAGACUCCUACGGGAGGCAGCAGUGAGGAAUAUUGGACAAUGGUCGGAAGACUGAUCCAGCCAUGCCGCGUGCAGGAAGACGGCCUUAUGGGUUGUAAACUGCUUUUGCAGGGGAAGAAUAAGGACUACGCGUAGUUUGAUGACGGUACUCUGCGAAUAAGCAUCGGCUAACUCCGUG